UUUUUCCCUUUUAUUUUUUGUUCAAUCCUAAACUUUUGUGUGAGUUCUUUUUCCUUUUUAAUCGCUAAUAUUUUUAAGCCCCAAGAAAGAUAAAGUAGUUCUCUGAGAACUUUUGUUGCCAAUCAAUCCAAAUCGAUAGUUGAAUCCAAAACAUACCACAUUGAUAUACACUCCUAAAAAAGAAUCCAUCGUUUUGAAGUAACCGUGUGGAGGUCUAAUUUGCCUAUGGAGGUGGUAGAUCUGGACUUCUAAAGAACACACCUUUUUCUUCUACAGUUAGGUCCCAUCUUGCCGGUGAAGGUCGCCGAUCUGAGCUCCCUAAGAACUUAUUGUUUUCUUUCAUAACUAGGUCUAUUAUCAAGCAAAGCCAAACCCAUUUCACCUUUAUUUACUUUCGGUUUAGUGAUUUUCAUAUUUACUGCAGUUUUCUUUUGGGAGUUUUGGGGGUUUUAAUUUGUUCAAUUUUAUCUCAUCUAAGCAGUGAUUAGACUUACUGGGUUAUCUUUGCCUAUUGUGUACCAAAUUUAUUAUGUGGGUAAAAUAAUUUUGAAAUACCUAGUUUUUUUGUGAGUGAGUUGUUUGCUUGGUUGUACGCUAAAAUUAUGCUUACUCAAUAUGCCAUGCACAUCUACUGUUCGACGAAAUGCCGUCCCAUUAGCAGUAGUUACUCAAAUUCUAUUUUUUUCUUGAAUGUAUCUCAAUUUGCAAAUAUUCAUAUGUAUGCCUUAAUGCAAUCUAGAUGCUCUGUUCUCUUUAUACGUUAAUCUAUUAUGGAGAAGAGAUAUUGACGAAUAUUUAGCUUUAGUGACCUUAAAUUCUGGGAGUGAUUUGUUUCAUUCAUGGUUAAAGAAAUAAGACAUCAUCAAUUCUAGUUCAUUGGAGAGUUGUACUAUUUUUAGUCUUUGAAUUAUCUAAUUUGUGCCUAUAUCAUAUCUUCAUUAGAAAAAAGCAAAAGAGUAGUUUUUUGUUGGAAAUGGAAUAUGUCAUUAGUGGUCUAGAAAUAGAAAUUAGAAUUGCAUAUUGCAUAUACUAUUGAAGGUUUAAAAAUUUGUCAAAAUUGAAGUUUGCUUUGACUAUUUUUUAAACUUUGCAAGAUUGAAAAUCUUACACUUAUUAUGAGUAUAUGACAAAGAGAAAAGACGAGGCAUUUUUGUCUAGUGGGGUAAUGUCUAAUGGUUCUAACUUUAUUUUUCUCAGAUUUGAACAUGGAGGCUUGAAAUAGUCCUUUUUAUCUGUUGGUAGGAUCAUUUCUUUUGCAUCAGACAGAAAACUAAUACUUCACUUAUUUCGUACUAGGGGUACUGCUAAGAGUUAGAUUGGAUUAACUCCAAAUAAACUUGGUUAUGGAUACUAUCCAAUUAUUCAGACAUUUAACUUCCUAAACAAAUUUAGUACUACUUUGUAACUUGGUAACUCUUUUCUGAAGAUUAAUAAUCCAAAUUCCACAAAAAGUAUGGUAAAUUGAAAGUCUUGGUUCCUAACUUGUAAUUGUUUUUAUAUUUUUGUGUACAACAUCAUAAGCAGCAGUGGAAACAGAAGCUAUAGAAUUUGUGCUAAGGCUUUUGGAAAUCAAAAGGGCACAACCAAUAGUGCAAGAAUUUGCAGCUAAGGGUAUUUUGUACCUGAUGGCCAUUUGCACCGUUUUGGAUUCAAGACUAUCUCGAAGAUCGAGGUUCUUCCUACCAAGCCAAAUACUAGUGAGCUGGACUGUACGUGGAGACUUCAAGGUAUAUCUGCCAGCGUCCGCAGAUCUCGGAGUCCCCCUCUAUCCUUAUUAUGUUAUUUCCCUUAUUCUCUUUAGACUUGAUGUAUAGAGACACUUAGUAUUUUCUCUUAGAAGCUUGUGACUUAUUUCUACCGAGUUUUAGGAGUUAUAAUUAUUGAUUUGUAGUCUUAUAUUUAUAUAUCAUGUGUUGAGAUUGGAGUUCGGUUUAUUAUUCAUUUAUUCCGCAAA
Molecule: long non-coding RNA, 1954 nt
Organism: Nicotiana tabacum (common tobacco)
Lineage: Eukaryota; Viridiplantae; Streptophyta; Magnoliopsida; Solanales; Solanaceae
Source: RefSeq, a predicted model, not a curated record